GCCCGAGUGCUCUCACAUACAAAUAUCCAUCUCACCCCUUUGUGCAUCACCGCGUGCGUCCCCCCUUCCUCGGAGGGGGGUGCUCACGUUUUUAAACAUCAAACACCCUAGUGUAGAAUGUUCUUUGCGCGAUCACGCGCGAAUCAAUACAACUUUCAACAACGGAUCUCUUGGCUCUCGCAUCGAUGAAGAACGCAGCGAAAUGCGAUACGUAAUGUGAAUUGCAGAAUUCAGUGAAUCAUCGAAUCUUUGAACGCACCUUGCGCCCCUUGGCAUUCCGAGGGGCACACCCGUUUGAGUGUCGUGAACAUCCUCAACCUGCUUCGUUCUAUCGAACCAAGUAGGCUUGGAAUUUGGAGGUUUUUUCUGCUGGCUUCUUCCUCUGAAGCCAGCUCCUCUUAAAAUUAUCAGUGGGAUCCGCUUUGCUAGAUCCUCGACGUUGAUA
This 445-nucleotide ribosomal RNA is filed under the name uncultured fungus. Its description in RNAcentral is "eukaryotic LSU rRNA". The stretch from base 151 to 304 matches the Rfam family "5.8S ribosomal RNA". Lineage: Eukaryota; Fungi. The record is from RNAcentral.